GCGGGUGUAGCUCAGUGGUAGAGCGCGACCUUGCCAAGGUCGAUGUCGUGAGUUCGAAUCUCAUCACCCGCUCCA
This 75-nucleotide transfer RNA is filed under the name Rubritalea squalenifaciens. Its description in RNAcentral is "tRNA-Gly". It matches the Rfam family "tRNA". From Rfam's summary of the family: Transfer RNA (tRNA) molecules are approximately 80 nucleotides in length. Their secondary structure includes four short double-helical elements and three loops (D, anti-codon, and T loops). The record is from RNAcentral. Lineage: Bacteria; Pseudomonadati; Verrucomicrobiota; Verrucomicrobiia; Verrucomicrobiales; Rubritaleaceae. RNAcentral also lists the same sequence under 7 other names.